GGGCCCGUAGCUCAACAGGUCAGAGCAGCGCCCUCAUAAGGCGAAGGCUGCGGGUUCGAGCCCCGCCGGGCCCACAA
This 77-nucleotide transfer RNA is filed under the name Caldilineae bacterium. RNAcentral's name for it is "tRNA-Met". It matches the Rfam family "tRNA". From Rfam's summary of the family: Transfer RNA (tRNA) molecules are approximately 80 nucleotides in length. The record is from RNAcentral. Lineage: Bacteria; Bacillati; Chloroflexota; Caldilineae.